RNAcentral lists this ribosomal RNA (405 nucleotides) under Trieres sp. (in: diatoms). Its description in RNAcentral is "Trieres sp. partial large subunit ribosomal RNA". It matches the Rfam family "Bacterial large subunit ribosomal RNA", at positions 2081 to 2485 of the family's 2925-position model. The record is from RNAcentral. Lineage: Eukaryota; Bacillariophyta; Thalassiosirophyceae; Eupodiscales; Parodontellaceae.
CAGAAAGACCCUAUGAAGCUUUACUGUAACUUGAAAUUGAAAUUGGACUUUAUUCGCGCAGUAUAGGUGGGAGGCAUUGAAAAUAAUCUUGCGGGAAUAUUGGAGCCAUCAGUGAGAUACCACUCUUGUAAUGUUAGAUUUCUAACUUUGAAUCAUUAUCUGGUCAAAGAACAGUUUCAGGCGGGCAGUUUGACUGGGGCGGUCGCCUCCCAAAUGGUAACGGAGGCGUACAAAGGUUUCCUCUGAACGGGUAGAAAUCGUAUCUAGAGUGUAAAGGCAAAAGGAAGCUUGACUGUGAGACCUACAAGUCGAGCAGGGACGAAAGUCGGUCUUAGUGAUCUGACGGUACUGAGUGGAAAGGCCGUCACUCAACGGAUAAAAGUUACUCUAGGGAUAACAGGCUGA